This 1301-nucleotide long non-coding RNA is filed under the name Bos indicus x Bos taurus (hybrid cattle). Its description in RNAcentral is "lncRNA (ENSBIXG00000014755.1)". The record is from RNAcentral. Lineage: Eukaryota; Metazoa; Chordata; Mammalia; Artiodactyla; Bovidae.
AUGAGAAAACUGAGGUUCCUGUCACAGGACUCAAACCUUAUUCCAACCAGUAAGCUGCCUCUUACUCCAUGACACACGGAUGCCUCUGGACAAAGCUGACCAUAGAAGGGCCUUCCAGAAUUGAUCUUGCAGCCUGCCUCCUUGGCCUACAGGGCUUUGCCCUGGAGACAUCAAUAAGAGACUCAGUUUACUUCUGUCCAGAAACCAGCAGGGCCUCCUUGCCCUCAGGCCAAGGAUUUACCUACCACUCUUCUCUGAAUCAGAGGUCUUCUGCAUGGCUGGCAUUCACCAAAGACAAGGCAGCAGCUGGAGAUCAGAAUCUUCAUCGUUUCCUCAUUCUGAAGAGUUGGACUCGACAGGAACCAAUGGAAAAGUGAACAUUUGAGUCAAUCGACAGGAUGUUUUUUGGUCAACCAAUACCCAACAACUGUUUCUAAAGGGUUUGUCCCCACCUCCACCCCCCACCCCGCAACUGGAGUGGUGAGUUUUCUCUUUAGCUGAAUUCACCAGAUGUUUUGGCGGUACAUAAACCUGGCUUUCCCGUCUUCCAAGUGGAUGAAAUAGGAUCCAAAUCACAGCACGUCUCCUCAGCUUCUCCAACCAAGUACUUAAUGGUUCUUGAGAAUAAUGUAAAGAUGGAGUUCAGUUUUCUUCAGGCCUUGGGCCCACUGGAUCCAGGUGUUGGCAUUUUCUGGCUUCGCUUUAGAAGAUUUCCAGGUGGAAUCCCAGAUUCAUGAGCACGAGUCAACUUCCCCACAGUUACCCUCCUCCAUCACUUUAAUUUUUCUGGCCACAUAUCAGAAACUGUAAAAGUACACCCCAAAAUCCCCACGAAGGAUGAACUGCUGUAGUGGCACGCACAUGAUUCAACCACAUCUGGAGAAAAAACUGCUCUGCGACUCCCCCUCAGUCUUUGCAACUCCAGGUGCCGCCCCCCACACCCGAGUCAAAGGGGAAACAGGACCCCUUCAUCAGCCUCCAACCUCCCUCUGCCUUGUGCCCCGUUUUGCUUAGAACAAGCUUCAGCAUGCCAUGCCACCUCGCCAGGCCUUGCCAAAAUCCACGAAUGGCACAGAGAGCACAUUAAACAGAUGGAAUGCAACAUACAUGUAAAGAAAUAAGAGCACUGCCAGGAAGGUUGGCAGCAGCGCUGGAAUGCUUUAAACAGUGUGUGUGUGGGUAGGAAGAGUGAGCCCAGAGUCGGCGAGGCUGCCUCCUUCUCAAGAGCUGUUUCUUUUACAGCCGUGACCUGUUUUGCCAGUCAAAAUAAAUACGGUGUUAAAUGCCCCCUUUUACUGGCU